Long non-coding RNA from Thamnophis elegans (Western terrestrial garter snake), 3448 nucleotides. RefSeq lists it as uncharacterized. The record is from RefSeq and is a predicted model, not a curated record. NCBI's taxonomy places the organism in Eukaryota, Metazoa, Chordata, Lepidosauria, Squamata, Natricidae. The transcript is spliced from 3 exons.
UUGGCUUUCAGUACUUCUAUUUGGUAUACCUUGAUGUCUUGGAUGAAGAAGUACAGGGAAUGCUCAUUGGAUCUAGAGAUUAUUCAUUACUCUGGAAAGAAAGAAAGUCUAAAAGAUUUUGAGAGAAACAGGCUUAAAUUAGCAUAAUUAUACUUAAGAGAUACAAGAGCACUUUUUUUCCCCAUUUUGAAACAGAAAUCACAUAGUUAUAGGAUAAGCUUAGAGUGGCAUGGUGGCCUAGUGGUGAAGACACUCACCUCCACUUGGAAGGUUGAAUGUUAAUUCCUAAGUAACAGAUGUUUCUCUCCUAGGGCACAAAGAAAAAAUAUCUACUGCAAACUCUGCAUGGCAUCAAGAAGGGCAUCCGGCCAGUAAACACUCAGCUCCAUCCAAUCUCCUGACUCUAUCCCGAAAUAAGAUUCUUCCUUGAAUGUCCAUUUCUGGGUAGUACAUUUUAAGAAAUAGAGAAUAAAAAGAGACUGGAGUAGCUGGGGACAUUUAGUUUUGUGUAAAGAGUGGAGGUAAGAAAUAUAACACUCUUUAACUACCUGAAUUAAAUCAGACAGAAGAAAGUGAAGACUUGUUAGAAUGAUAACAAGGUGCAGGAUACAGAACAAGGGAUUUAACCCGACUAGAAAGCAAUUCCAACACACAACAAAGAUGGGGUGGGAGCGCAGAAUGUACAGGGGAGAGAGAUGUAAUCUGUUAUUGGUCCAUCAGCCACCUCCAGAAUGAUAAUGGGUUCCCCUUCAUUGGAGUAGUGGCUUGAUUGGUCUGGCAUGUUCUAAUUUGAUCCUGUGUUAAGGAGGCAGUUGCAUGGUUCCCUCCAACAUCAGGUUUCUAUAACUCUGAUGUCUGAUACCAGUUAAAACUAUCCCAAAUUACAUGUAGGUCAUGUGUUAAAGACAAGUAAUGACAGAUUUGUAUGAAAUCAGAUUUUAUUGUAAACCAUUAUUUAGGUACAACACAUAUGCUUUCCAUUUUCAUAAAAUACCAACAGUAAAAUUAUGAUCUGGUGGGCCUUAUGGUUUCCUUUUGAAUGCUGUAGGACUGACAUUCAUUUUCAUUUUGAAUCCUUCAAAAAACAUUGUGUAUUAAUUAGCAAUGGCUGGAUCCAGUUCUUAUUCUCCCUCCUUCUACCUUGUGCUUUCUAAAAAGUUGUUUCAUGGGACAAUAAUGGAGGCAGCCGUGGAAAAGGGUAGAACUGGUAAAAUCACUGUUCUGACCCCUUCUUCCAGUGAGGAAGAUCUCCUGGCUUCCAAGUUUCAUUCUCUCAAGUUUUCCCAUUUAUGGACACAUCAAUCUGGAAUACCCCUUUAACUAAAAAAAGAAAAGAGAUUCAAGAUGUUUCUAUAUUUAAAGCCACCAUUUCCCCCUCAUUUACUGAACAUUAACAGUUUUGAUGCAUUGCAAGUCUCCUAUGAUCAAUGUGGCUGAAUCUGUGUGUUCGCCAUUAUCGCUCUUGUCAUAUGGAAGCUAAAAUCUGCAAUUUGCUAUGCACAAAAAGCACAAAGACCCAACUUGUAAAGAAGCAAAUGUAAGGCUGCACAUUCUGGCCCUGCCCUGUUCUUUUCCAGCUAGGCUUAAUGGAAAACCUAAGCACUUGCUUGUGAAAGAAUGGCUCUGGGACAUUUUGCAUUGUUUUAGUUUGGUUCACAAUUCAACGAGUUUGAGGUCUUUUCCCUGAAGAGAAACACCAGCAACAUUUGUACAGGACAUUUUACUUUUUACUUAAGAGUAGUCGGGGAGACAUUAAAACACUGAAGUCAAAAAAAUGAAGGCUGCAUUAAUGACCAUAGGGUUUCCAAAACAAUUCUGUUAGAUAUCAGAAGUCCUGAUUUCAUGAGGAAUGCUAAUCUUUUGUUAAGAUUAAUCUCAUUUUAUUUUUGUUUCUUAGUCAUUUGGAAACGGGAAGGCUACCAUUUUGCUCCAGCAAAUUCAACAUUCUAUUACAAAUUUCUAAGUGUAGAAAGACCUGAAUCUCAAACUCAUUAGAAAAAGAUCAGCAUUAUUUUACAAAAAAGCACUGACAGAAUCAUACUUAAGAAGAACAUUAUUCCUUCUUUUGAGCCUUAAAUCAGGCUGCUGGACAAUGCCAUUCAACACAAAACAGUAAAUCUGAACUCUGUUUAACGGUGGACUAUUUAAACACAUUUAAGGCUUUAGGUUUAGUGUUUUAGAACCCCCCCCUCCCUCGGCAGCAACACACCUAUCCCAAAAGUAGUCUGUACACAAUAGACGCCACUGGAUAAAAUGAAGAAAGUUUUUGCAUUUUGCAUACUGUUAAAAUUCAUAAGGCAAACAGAAAAUAACAGGUGUUUGGCAUUGUUUGUUUCAUUAUCUCUUAAAAAAAAUACAUUUUUCUGAGUUUUCAUUCUGCUGAACAAUUAAGAGGACCAUGCUACUAUCUCUUUAAUGAAUUGGUACGAACAAAACCUGCUUUAAAAUAUCAUGGUUGAUAAACAGUGAUUUACAGUAUUAGAAUUAUAUAGUAAAAACAUAAAAAACAGUAUGGUUGGAAGCAAUAUUAAUCAUGGGCACUGCCCUAUCGCUUUAUAGGAGCUUCUUUUAGUGUUAUACUUAAUAAAUAAUUGGGUUUUCUUUUCAUCUAAACACAAAAAAGGAAUGUCCUGGAAAUAUACUAUAGAAUAAGACAACACUUUCUAGUCUGUCCUUCUCUAAGACAGGACCUUAAGAACAUCCCCUAAGAGAAGUAAGCACUCUUCACCUUAAAAUUACCACCAGUCCAAAAAGAAAAGGGUGGUGGUAGUAGAGAAAACCCCCACUCAAAACAGCAGAAUCCACUUUUGCAUCCUAAGCCCAAUAAUUUCUCUGAAAGCUAGGAUCAGCUUUAACUUGUUCUCUGCUAAAUAAAGUAUUCAUAGCCAAAGUAUACAAAAUGCCUUGGAAAAGAUCUGAGCUCCUAUCAAUGAAUAUGUUUAAGGCUCAAAAUAUAACCUCUCUCUCUUUCUCUGUUUUAUUAUUAGAUUUUUUUUCUCCUGACAUCUCUUGCUGUUUGAAAUGAGCAUGGAAACCAGCCAAACAAUCAAUGGGGGCUGGCCCCUGGAGGCUCAUGCGGCACUUCUGUAAUUUGGUUAUCUGCCCCCAGUCAGGACUUGCCACCCUGCAACCUACAAAGGAUUAGCUAUCUUGCUCCUUACAGUAUGCUGCAAAAAUCUGGAUACUGGAAACAUACUGAUUCAAAGUUUGUCAAUCCUCCUGUUAUUUCCGGAGUGUCUCUGAGGAACCACAGUGAAGUGAUGGUAUUCUGUGCCUCUUCUGAAGGCUCUCCUCCAUCUAAGCCACCGUGGUGACAAGAAUUUGUGAACACAUGUUGAGAAGAGAUUCUUGCAUAUUUUCCAUAGUGCAACUGAACAGGUAAGUGUUUCCAAUGGUCUGUGUUCCCUUUGAUUCACAGUCUUGAGGCAACAAGCAUCCUAUGGCCAAG